UACGAAGGGGGCUAGCGUUGCUCGGAAUCACUGGGCGUAAAGCGCACGUAGGCGGCUUUCUAAGUCAGGGGUGAAAUCCUGGAGCUCAACUCCAGAACUGCCUUUGAUACUGGAGAGCUUGAGUCCGGGAGAGGUGAGUGGAACUCCGAGUGUAGAGGUGAAAUUCGUAGAUAUUCGGUGGAACACCAGUGGCGAAGGCGACUCGCUGGACUGAUACUGACGCUGAGGUGCGAAAGCGUGGGGAGCAAACAGG
This 253-nucleotide ribosomal RNA is filed under the name uncultured bacterium. RNAcentral's name for it is "partial 16S ribosomal RNA". It matches the Rfam family "Bacterial small subunit ribosomal RNA", at positions 524 to 776 of the family's 1533-position model. The record is from RNAcentral.